CGGUCUCCAUAAAAAUGAAAUGGGAUAAAAAAAAAUAUUUACAUGUAAGAUAAUAUAUUAAAUAGACAAUUAAAUUAAUAUUGUACAUGACAAGACAAGAUAGGAUGCUCCGGCACCGAAUGUAGCACUCCUUACUCGACUACACUGUAGACGGGUGAGUAAUGUUACAAUAGUUAACUCAUAAAAAGACUAUAAAUUAAAUAAUAAAUAUCGAAUCAAUCAAUGCUCACUCCUAGGAAGAAGAUAAAUUUAGUAUGGCAUCCAACAUGAGAUCAGUCUGCUAAUAGGUGGUCUGUCAUGUUCUUGCACAAAUUAGAGUAUGCAAUGUGUUGUGAAUACAUUUCAAGACGUCAUGGGGAACUGUAAGAAGGAUCCACAUAAGACAUAACUAUCUCCAAGGCUCUUUGUCUUCUUAAUUUCUAUAUCUCCCACGCUGGAACGCCAACCCAAAACCCAGUAUCAAAGAAGUAGAGUUGAUGGCAGUACACGAGUUGGUCCAUAUUACAGGCUCCGGUUGGGCCCCUGAUUACAACUUACAAGCAAUUAACGAACUAGAGCCUGCAAACUUUAGCAGGUUACAUAGCUAAUAAUUACAGCCUCAUUGAUGUAAGAUAUUCCUUCUUCCUUCCCCUAAUCCUGAUGGUAGAACAUUGCUACUAGGUGGAUUUUCUGAGAAUGAAAGCACACAUAAACACAUGCAGCUGAGAAGCCAAUUAGGAUUCAGAUACUGCAUAGAGUCAUAGAGACAAGUUAACAACUGCUGAUAUGGUUGGAUCUGUUUGAUCUUCUGGUGGAGUUCAUUAAUGACAUAAUCCAUCUCCCAAAAACUAAUAUUCUUGUUUUCAAGGAAAUCAAUUCUCAUCAAGAACACAACAAUUUCAAGAAGCCAAACAAAUUAGUGGCACACACAUUCUCUAUGACUCAAAGGAGUUAGAAGAUUCAAAAAGUACUGGGCAUCACCUAAAACAAGAAUAUUUAAAAUGAUUCAACCUUUAAUCACUUCAACUUCUCCCCUACUUCUGGAGCAUCUUCAAUUUUCAUGAAAUAGGUAUGGGGAAAGGUUUAAAAACAGCAUUUAGAAAUAUUUAUGCAGCUAAUACAUGCAGGAAGCAAUGCCAUUUGCUACUGGGAAAUGAUAAGAAAAUUCAAAGAUACAGAUGACAGCAUCAAGGUUGCGUUAAUGUACAAUACUUGUAUUAUAUCUGCCUUUUAGGAUAAAUCCUCUUAAGUCCAUUUGGGCUGCUUUGAAAAUGGAAGACAGCUACCAAUAAUCAUAAAUAAGCAUGGAACUUGAUGAUAAACUUCAAGUAGAAAUCAAGUAACUAAAUAAAAAAGAGUCAAAAAAGAAAAAAAAAAGAAAAAAGAAAACUUAACCAACCAAGUUCAGCUCACCUCUACCGGGCUCCAAAAAAUGGCUGUAUUUAGGGUUUUUCUGCUUCUUUGAGCUCAAAAAUUCUCAACUAAAGAUCUCCAUGGAAAUGCCCGGUCGAAGAUCCAAUUACACACUUGUUAGCCAGUAUCCUGACGAGCCUCUAGCGGCUGCGCCACCACUGCCGUACUACGAUUCUUCUAUUUCCAGUGAUUCCAAGAGUAGCAAACUAAAGCUGGAUAGGGGCUUCGAUUGGGAAUCUAGCGGCGAUUACAGAAUAAAUCAGCAAGCGAAUAGUAAUCGGAUUGGUAAUUUGAACAUGUAUUCGUCGAUCGGGUUGCAAAGGCAAUCGAGCGGGAGUAGUUUUGGUGAGAGUUCGUUGUCUGGAGAGUAUUAUGCCCCAACGUUGUCAACGACUGGGGGGAAUGAGAUUGAGGCAUAUGGAUACAUGCACGAGGAUGGGAAUUUUAUGAGAGCGAGAGCAGUGGAUGCGGCGGUGAUUUCGGGGACGGGUACUGGAUCGUCUGGGAAGAGCUGGGCGCAACAGACGGAGGAGAGUUACCAGUUGCAGUUGGCGUUGGCCUUGAGGUUGUCGUCCGAGGCGACUUGUGCCGAUGAUCCGAAUUUUUUGGAUCCGGUACCAGAUGAAUCCACGUUGCGGUCAACUAGCUGCAACUCGCCUGAGGCCCUGUCUCAUCGGUUUUGGGUGAGUGGUUGCUUAUCAUACUUUGACAAAAUUCCGGAUGGAUUUUACCAAAUUCAUGGAAUGGAUCCAUAUGUGUGGACUGUAUGCUCGGAUUUGCAAGAGAAUGGUCGUAUUCCAUCUAUUGAGUCAUUAAAGUCUGUUGAUCCUAGUGCUGAUUCUUCAUUGGAAGUGGUUUUAAUUGAUCGACGCAGUGAUCCAAGCUUGAAGGAACUCCAAAAUAGGGUCCACAGCAUUUCUUGCAGCUGUAUCACUACAAAAGAGGUAGUUGAUCAGCUGGCCAAGCUUGUCUGCAAUCGCAUGGGAGGUUCAACCAAUGUGGCGGAAGAUGAUUUCAUUUCUAUGUGGAGGGAAUGCAGUGAUGAGUUAAAAGAUUGCUUGGGAUCUGUUGUGGUUCCAAUAGGCAGCCUAUCGGUUGGUCUAUGCAGACAUCGAGCAUUAUUAUUCAAGGUGCUUGCUGACACAAUUGAUUUGCCAUGUCGAAUUGCAAGAGGCUGCAAAUACUGUAAAAAAGAUGAUGCUUCCUCAUGUCUUGUGCGAUUUGGCCUCGACAGGGAAUAUCUCGUUGAUUUGGUAGGGAAGCCUGGUUCUUUAUGCGCGCCUGAUUCAUUGCUCAAUGGUCCUUCUUCCAUCUCAAUUUCUUCACCAUUGCGCUUUCCCCGAAUGAAAUCAGCUGAACCUACCAUUGAUUUCAGGUCUUUGGCCAAACAAUACUUCUCAGAUUGCCAAUCUCUUAAUCUUGUAUUUGUUGACGCUUCAGCAGCUGUUAUUCCGGCUACUGUUCUUGAUGAUGAAGCUCCAGAAUUCUCUAUGUAUCCUAAGCAAAUUGAGAGUACAGGUGCAGAUAAAAAUAACCUUGUGCAAGUCCCAACCAACAGCAGUGAAGUUUCUCAGUUACCUCUGCCAAUGAAAGUUGCUCGAACAAGUGCCCAAGAUAGAAAUGCUCAAAAUUUUAAGUUUUAUAAUCCUUUACAGAAUAUUAAGCAAGCGACAAAUAUGAUGAAAGAUCCCAUCCAUUUAAAGCAUAUCCCAACUAUGGGGCAUAGAGAUGUGCAACCACUUUUAUCAUUGUCUGAUCAGAGAGUGGAUACUAGUAAAAAUUCAAGAUUUUCUGAAGGUAGUCAACUGGUUUCUAGUAAAACAAGUAAUGAGCUGUCACUUGAUGUGGAGGAUUUGGACAUUCCAUGGAGUGAUCUUGUUUUGAAAGAGAGAAUUGGAGCAGGCUCUUUUGGAACUGUUCACCGUGCUGAUUGGCAUGGCUCGGAGGUUGCUGUGAAAAUUCUCAUGGAGCAAGAUUUUGAUGCUGAACGCUUCAAGGAAUUUUUGAGGGAGGUAUGUGUUGGCCAGAAUUUUGAGAUUUCUCUUCUUGGUUUUGAUUUGAUUGUUUAGUUUCUUGUCCUUUGUUUGUUAGGUUGCAAUAAUGAAACGCCUACGACAUCCAAACAUAGUUCUUUUCAUGGGUGCGGUUACUCAGCCCCCAAAGUUAUCCAUAGUAACAGAAUAUUUAUCAAGGUUCUUCAUUGUCCCCGUGGAAAUACCCCUGCUUCCUUUAUUUCUUUUAUAAUGUGGAAUGUGUGGGAAAUAUUUGCUUAUAAUUUUUGAAAUAUUUCUGUAUAUUCUUAUGUGCAUAUAUUUAUUUCUUUAAGAAGUUAAAAAAAAACUGAAUUCUUGGGUUUUCACUGUAGAGGUAGCUUGUAUAGGCUCUUGCAUAAGUCUGGUGCAAGAGAGCUAUUGGAUGAAAGGCGCCGGUUGAGUAUGGCCUAUGAUGUGGCAAAGGGUAUGAAUUAUCUCCACAAACGCAAUCCUCCCAUAGUUCAUAGAGAUUUAAAAUCUCCAAAUCUAUUGGUUGACAAAAAAUAUACAGUGAAGGUUUGUGAUUUUGGGCUCUCUCGUCUCAAAGCAAACACAUUUCUUUCAUCCAAGUCAGCAGCGGGGACUGUAAGUGCUGUUAUAAUUAACGACCAGUUGAAUGUGUCUUUGGUUUAAGGUGGUGGACACUGUUUAUUACAAUAUAAGCUUAAUCAUAAUAAUAAUAAUCUCUUCUGCUUUAUUAGCCUGAGUGGAUGGCACCAGA
RNAcentral lists this unclassified non-coding RNA (4146 nucleotides) under Hevea brasiliensis (rubber tree). The record is from RNAcentral. Lineage: Eukaryota; Viridiplantae; Streptophyta; Magnoliopsida; Malpighiales; Euphorbiaceae.